Long non-coding RNA from Formica exsecta, 2321 nucleotides. RefSeq lists it as uncharacterized. Lineage: Eukaryota; Metazoa; Arthropoda; Insecta; Hymenoptera; Formicidae. The record is from RefSeq and is a predicted model, not a curated record. The transcript is spliced from 5 exons.
UUUACCAUGAAUUAAUGAAAGGAUAGAACUAUAAUAUACGUCAAAUUCAGCGAAAUCGAAGGGAACAAUGUCUGGUGUUCCCCUUGUCAGUUUUUUUUUUUUUUACGAACCACUCAGUUAUAGAGUACUUAUCUUUUAAUGAUAAAAUUAUUUAAUAAGAUAUAUUUAUACUAUUUUAUUACACAGCAUAAUUAUUGUGGCAGAGAAAAUUAGUGAUGCAAAAAUUGGCAAUGUCGCAAAACAGCUGAUUUGAUCUGAAAAAAUCACAUUGUAUCUGAUUGCACGUUCGAUAUCCGAAUAAUGUAUAUAUAUGUAAUAAAAAGCCAUGUAAGUCAUAAAAAUGUGUGUGUGCGUGUAUGUAAAAUGUAAUGUAACAAUGAAAACGAUUUCAUUCGAGACUCGAUAUAUAUAUAUAUAUGCAAUAAAAAAAGCCAGUGUGUAUUAUUGUAUAAUAAUAAAAAUGAUUGCGUGUGAGUAUAUAUGCAAAAUAUAGUUAAUAGCGAAAGCGAUCAAUCAAUUUUUACGCACAAAUGCAUAUAAAGUCACAUUAUUAUUUCUAGUAUUUGAGGAUAAUUCCUAAUUAGUGUCCAAUGCAUAUUACGUGUGUAACGAGAAUAUUUCUAUUUUACACUUAUUGUGAUAUCCGAUAGAUUAAUAUACUUUCUAAGAUUUUCUAGCGCGCGCUAUUCUUGUUUCUAAAUAAUUUUAUUUUAUUGUUUAAUGAAACAUUGAUGAUAAAAUGCAAAAUGGAAAAGAGUUAUAUAUAACAUUGAUAUAUAUUAUGUAAUUAUGUAAUAUAUUUUAUAAUUUUUAAAAUCAGAUAAAAUAUAUUAAUAAUGCGAAACGCAUAUGUCUUCUAAUUGAAUAUACCCACUUCAUUAUACCCACACAUCUUAUUGUGCCACACAUAUCUCUUUAUUAAUUAUGUUAAAAAAUUAACCGAACCCCUCGGUCGUGAAGAAGAUUUUCGAAAAUAUAUAUUAGAUAUAUUUGUACGUAACAGCCGAAAUUCCUUUAUCGUGAGCUCAUGCCGAAGGUUCGAGAAUUUGCCUAUAUAGGUUGUUUGUCACAGUCGUAUGAAUCGCUGAUUGGUAGCCCUUUGCCGUUCGAUCGACAAUACCAAUCAAAACGAGCGUACAUCGGCGGCUCAACACGGAGAUCGCGAUCACGCAGAGUCGCAGAACCGUUGUUACCGCAGUUCGUGCGUAGUGCGACUUACUACGUGCAUUGCGUAGAGCGUAAUAUUUCGGUGCAUAUUUUUUCAAAAACGCGAGUGAAUAAUUAAUUAAGCGCAAAGUGUCCAAUGAGAUCUUAGCGCAGUGUAGUGAUGCGCUAAUAUAAGUGAACAUUUCCUGUGUGCGGAUUUCCUGAGACGAGGAGAUUCUUCGGUACGCAGUACAGAGAAUGAACGAAUUCCUGCAAGAGGCUGAAACGCUCGCUGAGCGUCCAGGAUAUACCUCGUUCGGCCAGUUCCCUCUGCAAAACCCUACGAUCAUUCUAAUUAAGGAGUCGUAAUAUUGACGACAUGUCUGCGCGAAAGAGCGGAGGAAGGGAGACGAUGGAUUCGUUGGAGAAAACGAGCGGCCGGAUGGAAGGAUCUUAAUUUCAUAAGGAUCUGUUCCCGAAGGAGAUCGAUUUUUCUGACCCUCGAAUACGUUAAUAACCUCUGGUUGCGUGUGCGCUCGUCCGGCCUAUCGUCAGGAUAGAUGCAUCUGGUGCAGCGGAAAAUGUAACACCACCGAGUUCUGCACCGUCAGUCUUCACCCCGCCGGAAAUACCAGAAUUUUUGCUGGCCGAUGAAUUCACUCAGCUCGACGAUUCGAACGCUUUUCGCCGAUAUUUAAACGGUAACCGUUAAUACAUCAAAACACGAACGAGUAAAUAGCGUCGCGUUCAGCCGGUGCGUGCUCGUGCGCUGUCCUUCAAGCUGAAAAACUCUAACAAACAGCCCGGUUCUCGAACGAUCUGCGUCGAAGAACAUCGUUUGUAUCCACUCUACAAUGGAGAUUUGAUUUCCUGGAACGGUCCUGCGAUGCAACAUACAUAUUCAUUGGGAGAUCGUUGCAUCUACAAGUUAGAGCGGCGGCUCUAGAGGCCGCUCACGCGACUAAGCUCCGCAGUUUUUCGCACGCUUUGCUGUCGAAAGACCGCCAGAAUGCGGCGGUGUACUCUGCGACGACCUACAGCUGUACGGCUCUUGUGAACAGGCAGAUGAUGAUUGCUUGGAGCACCUGGUGGAGCACCUUGCGCCUCUUGGUCGUCUGCAGCUAGAUAGAUCCGGCGUAGUCGACGCCGAUGUGGAGAAAGGACUUUGCUGGCGU